This 458-nucleotide ribosomal RNA is filed under the name uncultured bacterium. Its description in RNAcentral is "partial 16S ribosomal RNA". It matches the Rfam family "Bacterial small subunit ribosomal RNA", at positions 28 to 522 of the family's 1533-position model. The record is from RNAcentral.
GAUGAAUGCUGGCGGCGUGCCUAACACAUGCAAGUCGAGCGGUAAGGCCCUUCGGGGUACACGAGCGGCGGACGGCUGAGUAACGCGUGGGAACAUGCCCCAAAGUGAGGGAUAAGCUCCAGAAAUGGAGUCCAAUACCGCAUAUGAUCUUCGGAUUAAAGGAUUUAUCCGCUUUGGGAGUGGCCUGCGUACGAUUAGAUAGUUGGUGAGGUAAUGGCUUACCAAGUCUACGAUCGUUAACUGGUCUGAGAGGAUGAUCAGUCAGACUGGAACUGAGACACGGUCCAGACUCCUACGGGAGGCAGCAGUGAGGAAUCUUCCACAAUGGGCGAAAGCCUGAUGGAGCAACGCCGCGUGCAGGAUGAAGGCCUUCGGGUCGUAAACUGCUUUUAUAAGUGAAGAAUAUGACGGUAACUUAUGAAUAAGCACCGGCUAACUACGUGCCAGCCGCCGCGGUA